GCCUGUUUAACAAAAACAUCGCCUUUUGAGUUUAGUAGGAGGUCUGGCCUGCCCGCUGUGAGUGAAGGGCCGCAGUAUUUUGACUGUGCAAAGGUAGCAUAAUAAUUAGUCUUUUAAUUGGAGGCUGGCAUGAAUGGUUGGAUGAGGUAAUAGCUGUCUCAGAUGAGUAAAUUAUAAUUUAGCUUUUUAGUUAAAAGGCUUAAAUGAAGUUAGAGGACGAGAAGACCCUAUAGAUCUUUACAGAAUUAUAUUUAGUAGUAAGAUGAACUGAGAUUGAAUAAACAUUUUGUUUGGUUGGGGUGACGAGGAAAUAAACUAACUUUCUUUAAAUUUACAUUUAUAAAUGAAUAAAUGAUCCAUUCUUAGUGAUUAUAAGAGUAAGUUACCUUAGGGAUAACAGCAUAAUCUUCUUGGAGAGUUCAAAUCGAUAAGAGGGGUUGUGACCUCGAUGUUGGAUUAAGAUUUAGCCCAGGUGUAGCAGUUUGGGAUAGGGGUCUGUUCGACCAUUAAAAUCUUACAUGAUCUGAGUUCAAACCGGAGCUCC
RNAcentral lists this ribosomal RNA (544 nucleotides) under Thraulus sp. 1 CSC-2019. RNAcentral's name for it is "partial large subunit ribosomal RNA". It matches the Rfam family "Bacterial large subunit ribosomal RNA", at positions 1798 to 2627 of the family's 2925-position model. The record is from RNAcentral. Lineage: Eukaryota; Metazoa; Arthropoda; Insecta; Ephemeroptera; Leptophlebiidae.